UUUACUGUCUCUUACUUCCAAUCCGUGAAAUUGACCUUCCCGUGAAGAGGCGGGAAUACAACAAUAAGACGAGAAGACCCUAUGGAGCUUUAAUUAACCGACCCAAAGAGACCCUAUUAAUUAACCGACAGGAACAACAAACCUCUGUAUGGGCCGACAAUUUAGGUUGGGGUGACCUCGGAGAACAGAACAACCUCCGAGUGAUUUAAAUCAAGACUAACCAGUCGAAAGUAUUACAUCACUUAUUGAUCCAAAAGUUUGAUCAACGGAACAAGUUACCCUAGGGAUAACAGCGCAAUCCUAUUUCAGAGUCCAUAUCGACAAUAGGGUUU
RNAcentral lists this ribosomal RNA (332 nucleotides) under Puma concolor (puma). Its description in RNAcentral is "partial large subunit ribosomal RNA". It matches the Rfam family "Bacterial large subunit ribosomal RNA", at positions 2012 to 2519 of the family's 2925-position model. Lineage: Eukaryota; Metazoa; Chordata; Mammalia; Carnivora; Felidae. The record is from RNAcentral.